RNAcentral lists this ribosomal RNA (347 nucleotides) under uncultured bacterium. Its description in RNAcentral is "partial 16S ribosomal RNA". It matches the Rfam family "Bacterial small subunit ribosomal RNA", at positions 338 to 696 of the family's 1533-position model. The record is from RNAcentral.
CCUACGGGUGGCAGCAGUCGAGAAUCAUUCACAAUGAGGGAAACCUUGAUGGUGCGACGCCGCGUGGGGGAAUGAAGGUCUUCGGUUUGUAAACGCCUGUCAUGUGGGAGCAAAUUAAAAAGAUAGUACCACAAGAGGAAGAGGCGGCUAACUCUGUGCCAGCAGCCGCGGUAAUACAGAGGUCUCACGCGGUGUUCGGAAUCACUGGGCGUAUAGCGGGCGUAGGCUGUUUCGUAAGUCGUGGGUGAAAGGCGCGGGCUCAACCCGCGGACGGCACAGGAUACUGCGAGACUAGAGUAAUGGAGAGGGAAGCGGAAUUCUCGGUGGAGCAGUGAAAUGCGUAGAUA